Molecule: ribosomal RNA, 637 nt
Filed under: uncultured bacterium
Lineage: Bacteria
Description: bacterial SSU rRNA
Rfam family: Bacterial small subunit ribosomal RNA
Source: RNAcentral
GCUCAACCGGGGAGGGUCAUUGGAAACUGGGGAACUUGAGUGCAGAAGAGGAGAGUGGAAUUCCACGUGUAGCGGUGAAAUGCGUAGAGAUGUGGAGGAACACCAGUGGCGAAGGCGACUCUCUGGUCUGUAACUGACGCUGAGGCGCGAAAGCGUGGGGAGCGAACAGGAUUAGAUACCCUGGUAGUCCACGCCGUAAACGAUGAGUGCUAAGUGUUAGAGGGUUUCCGCCCUUUAGUGCUGCAGCAAACGCAUUAAGCACUCCGCCUGGGGAGUACGGUCGCAAGACUGAAACUCAAAGGAAUUGACGGGGGCCCGCACAAGCGGUGGAGCAUGUGGUUUAAUUCGAAGCAACGCGAAGAACCUUACCAGGUCUUGACAUCCUCUGACAACCCUAGAGAUAGGGCUUCCCCUUCGGGGGCAGAGUGACAGGUGGUGCAUGGUUGUCGUCAGCUCGUGUCGUGAGAUGUUGGGUUAAGUCCCGCAACGAGCGCAACCCUUGAUCUUAGUUGCCAGUAUUCGGUUGGGCACUCUAAGGUGACUGCCGGUGACAAACCGGAGGAAGGUGGGGAUGACGUCAAAUCAUCAUGCCCCUUAUGACCUGGGCUACACACGUGCUACAAUGGGCAGAACAAAG